RNAcentral lists this long non-coding RNA (791 nucleotides) under Homo sapiens (human). Its description in RNAcentral is "non-protein coding lnc-FOXA2-3:7". The record is from RNAcentral. Lineage: Eukaryota; Metazoa; Chordata; Mammalia; Primates; Hominidae.
CUCAUUCCCGGGCCUCCGGCUGACCACGGGAAAGGGGAUCUUCAGGAGCGGGUGUCUCAUGGCUGGGAAGAGGACGGCACAGGAGGGCUGGGGAACCCGAAUUGCAGCCUGAAUGGCCAGUGUCCUUUCUCCAGAAUGCAGUUCUCCCUUGCUCAGAAGAAAUGAGUCUGCCAGUGGGUACAACAUGAGAUGAUACUUCCACCCCCAUUGGUGACAGCCCUCACCUAGCUAUCAAGACAGUGUUCGACUUCCUUCACUCCUUCCAGGGGCCAGCAUGUGGCUGGCCACUGUCCACCCUCAGGGGUUGUGAACUGAAUUAAAGGGUUGCGUCCUUCAUCCAUUUUCUUUGCUGAACUGUCUUGAAUUUUACCCUAAGUUCAAAAUGAAGCAGACCAUAGCUGAGUUUAAAGGAGAUCCGAUUGACAUUGGGAAGUGGCACCCAAUAAGAUGGCUGUUUCUUCCGCCUGCUCCAGGGCUCGCCAACAGGAGAACUGAAAGCUGAAGGUGAGAUUAGGGUGUAGGGUCAGCUGCUUGGGGCUGGGAUUGCUGGCAAACUCUGAGGGCGGGCAGUGAGCGCUCAUUAGGAGCACAUGGCUCAUGAAGCUUCUAGCACCUGUUCCUGAGUCAACCAGAGUAACGAAGAGGAUGAAGUAGCCAAGUCCGGAUUCUUAAGCAUAGAAUCAGAGAAGUAAGUGAAGCAGAUGCAGUAAGUGAAGCACAGAGGGGUGAUAUAACCCACCUAGGACUACACACUUGUGGAAGGUCCAAGUGGAACCAGAGACCAGGGCCUC